Molecule: ribosomal RNA, 627 nt
Filed under: Triticum aestivum (bread wheat)
Lineage: Eukaryota; Viridiplantae; Streptophyta; Magnoliopsida; Poales; Poaceae
Description: partial small subunit ribosomal RNA
Source: RNAcentral
AUGGCGUCCCCGGCGGAUGCCCUAUCGGCGACGGGUGGCGGAGUUAGGGAUGUAAAUCCCAGGGAUCUGGGCGAUUUUUUUGAUCUGCUUGACCUUGAAGGAGAAGAGUUCGAGGACCUGGUGGUUGAUGAGGAUGAUCCCAAGAUCAAUGAUAGUGUGCGAUGGCUUGCUCUGGCUAGGGUUCACACUGCAAAGAACUUUAGUCAGGCGAUAUUCUUCAGAGAUAUGCAUGCGACGUGGAAUACGGCGCAACAAGUUCGAUUCAGGCCGGUGGGCAAAAAUCUCUUCAUGGUUCAGGCAUCAUGCCUUGGCGAUUGGGAGAGGAUCAUGGAGAAGGGACCCUGGUUAUUCAGGAACUUGGAUGUACUGUUGCAGCCGUAUGAUGGCUUCAGCAAAACAGAGGAGAUUGAGAUUUUCCAUAUGCCGAUUUGGCUACAAAUCCACAAGCUACCAGACGGUUACUGUAAGAACAAUCUGGUGGAGAAGUUGAUCAAGAAGGCAGGAGAGGUAUUAGAGAUUCGGCUGCAAGGAAAUUCACGCGGUGAUUACAUCAGAGUUCGGGUUCGUCAUGAUGUUCGGGAACCUUUAACCAAACAUGUCAGUAUUGUGAGAGGGAAGGAAAGAUAG